CCUCUUCGUACCUCUGGUAGAAUUCGGAUGUGAAUCCAUCUGGUCCUGGACUUUUUUUGCUGUCCAGCCUCAGGGUGUCUUCAUAACUGUAGUUUCCUUGUGCAGUGACAGUAUGUCAAUACAGCCUCAGUGCUUAUGGGCUGACCUGCAGGUCUGCUACAGGAAUGUAUUAGACUUUGGAAAUGAUGUUAGACAAAAAGCAAAUUCAAGCAAUUUUCUUGUUCAAGUUCGAAAUGGAUCAUAAAGCAGCAGAGACAACUUGCAACAUCAACAAUGCAUUGGCCCAGGAACUGCUAACGAAUGUACAGUGCAGUGGUGGUUCAAGAAGUUUUUCAAAGGAGACCAGAGCCUUGAAGAUGAGGAGCUUCGUGAAGGGCCAUAAGAAGUUGACAAUGACCAAUUGAAAGAAACCAUUGAACCUGAUUCUCUUACAACUACAGGAGAAGUUGCCAAAGAACUCAACAUUGACCAUUCUACAGUUGUUUGUCAUUUAAAGCAAAUUGGAGAGGUGAAAAAGCAUGAUAAGUGGGUGCCUCAUGAGCUGAGUGAAAAUAAAAGAGAAUUAUCGUUUUGAAGUGUUGCCUUCUCUUACUGUAUGCAACAAUGAACCAUUUCUUGAUCGGAUAGUGAUGUGCACAAAAAGUGGAUUUUAUAUGACCAGUGAUGAACAACUCAGUGGCUGGACUGAGAAGAAGCUCUAAAGCACUUCCCAAAGCCAAACUUGCACCAAAAAAAGGACACUGUCACUAUUUGGUGGUCUGCUGCUGGUCUGGUCCACUACAGCUUUCUGAAUUCUAGCAAAGCCCUUACAUCUGAGAAGUAUGCUCAGCAAAUCAAUGAGAUGCACUGAAAACUGCAAUACCUGCAGCCGGCGUUGGUCAACAGAAAGGGCCCAAUUCUUCUCCACGACAACGCCCGACUGCGUAACACAACCAACACUUCAAAAGUUGAAUGAAUUGGGCUACGACAUUUUGCCUCAUCCACCAUAUUCACCUGACCUCUCACCAACUGCCUACCACUUCCUCAAGCAUCUUGACAACGUUUCGCAGGGGUCCACAACCAGCAGGAUGCAGAAAAUGCUUUCCAAGGAUUUGUCAAAUCCUGAAGCAUGAACUUUUAAGCUACGGGAAUAAACAAACUUAUUUCUUGUUGGGAAAAAUGUGUUGAUUGUUAUGGCUUCUAUUUUGAUUAAUAAAGAUGUGCUUGAGCCUAGUUAUAAUGAUUUAAAAUUCAUGAUCCAAAACCACAAUUACUUUUGCACCAGCCUAAUAUUUCAGAGGAAGUGGGACAGGUUUAUAUUCUGCCAUAUGGGGAAUCCUGGAUUGCCCCACCCUGAACUUGUGAGUUAUUCUAGUGAUACUGUCAUGCCUCUAGAAAUUAGCUCAGGGUAGCUGACUGCCUGGCCAGCUGCUUAAAGUGGCUCUGAUUUUAAAAUAUCAUGAGGGGAUAUAUUUUUCUUGUUUG
Molecule: long non-coding RNA, 1464 nt
Organism: Rhinopithecus roxellana (golden snub-nosed monkey)
Lineage: Eukaryota; Metazoa; Chordata; Mammalia; Primates; Cercopithecidae
Exons: 3
Source: RefSeq, a predicted model, not a curated record